Molecule: long non-coding RNA, 793 nt
Organism: Haemorhous mexicanus (house finch)
Lineage: Eukaryota; Metazoa; Chordata; Aves; Passeriformes; Fringillidae
Exons: 2
Source: RefSeq, a predicted model, not a curated record
UUCUCCAGCCGCAGGGUGAUGCCCACACACCGCUGUCCCUUUGUCACGGGCGUUUGGAACAGGAGCCUGUGUGACCCCCAGACCUGUGCAGCUCCUCCCGAGACCUGGGCGCUGUCCCUCCAUUCCCCCUGUCCAGCCCAGCCUGUGCCAGCAGUCCCUGCCGAGGCACUCGGAGCGGAGGAGCUGCAGUCCGAGCAGCAGAAGGGUUUGAUGCCCCCGUGCUUGCGGAACUCCCAGGGCAUCUUUCAUGCAAAAUCCCCAAAAAGCUCCAAUUGAAGAACUUCGAGGUUUUUUCUUUAGUAUUCCUUAGAGUCCUGCAUCUGGGUUGUUCAUCUGGAUGAUGGAGAACUGGGAUGGGGCUGGAGCCCUGUGGCACCCUAGUAAUGACAGGUGCCAGGCUGGUGUCACCCCACUCUGUCAUCCUCUGAGACCAACCUAGGAGCCAGUUGCUCCCCAUCCCACGUGUAUCCAGCUGCAGCCUGGACAUUUUGUCCAGAAGGACUCUGGGAGAGACAGGAUCAAAAACUUUGCUGGAGUCCAAAAAGAUUCCAUCUCCUGGCUUUCCUUGAUCAGCCAGGUGGGGUACCCUGUUGUGGAAGGAAAUCAAGCUGGACAAGCAGGACUUUCACCUCAUGGAGCUGUGGCAAUGACUGUGUUGUUCUCCAGGUGUCUUCCAAUACUUCCCAGAAUCAUCUUUUCCAUGAUUUUACUGGGCACUGAAGUGAGACUGACAGGCCUGUGGGUUCCAGGGACCUCCUUCUUGCCCUUCUGGAAAAUCAGAACAGUCCCCAGU